GACCGCGUAUGUCUAGCCCGCCGGGGCAACCCGUGUGAGUGCUGGAAUGUUACCGGUCAUCCGUCCGGAUCACUCCUCUGCUCUUUACUGAGUUGGAGGGCAAGUGCUUCGGACCUUUUACUUUGAACAAAUUAGAGUGUUUCAAGCAGGCGUUGUUUGCGUUGAAUACAUUAGCAUGGAAUAAUCGAAUAGGACUUUGGUCCUAGUUUUCGUUGGUUUCAAGGACUGAAGUA
Molecule: ribosomal RNA, 233 nt
Filed under: uncultured fungus
Lineage: Eukaryota; Fungi
Description: partial small subunit ribosomal RNA
Rfam family: Eukaryotic small subunit ribosomal RNA (bases 103-233)
Source: RNAcentral